This is a non-coding RNA of Ceratotherium simum simum (southern white rhinoceros), 213 nucleotides long. Lineage: Eukaryota; Metazoa; Chordata; Mammalia; Perissodactyla; Rhinocerotidae. The record is from RefSeq and is a predicted model, not a curated record.
UACCAUCAGUCUCAUCUAUCUUCCUGUACCCAUAUGUGGGAUGUUUUAGGAUUCAGUGGCCUUUGAGGAUGUGGCUGUAAACUUCACCCUGGAGGAAUGGGCUUUAUUGGAUCCUUCACAGAAGAAACUCUACAGAGAUGUGAUGCGCGAAACCUUGAGGAACCUGGCUUCAAUAGGGAAAAAAUGGGAAGACUGUAACAUUGAAGAUCAGUA